CCCUGCGCGAGAGAUGCAUGCUAAGGUCGAGAAGGAGAUGUCUCUGUUCAAGAAGAUUCAUCUAGUGGUGCUGCAAGCCAAGCUGAAAAGGAGGAGGUGGAUUCGAGAUCGAUCUAUGUUGGUAAUGUGGACUAUGCCUGCACUCCUGAGGAAGUGCAACAACAUUUUCAGUCUUGUGGGACUGUAAACAGAGUAACAAUUUUAACAGACAAGUUUGGUCAGCCCAAGGGAUUUACAUAUGUGGAAUUUGUUGAAGUAGAGGCUGUUCAGAAUGUUCUGCUGUUGAAUGAAUCGGAAUUGCAUGGUCGUCAGCUAAAGGUUUGCAUCAAUUUGAUUAGGUUAAACUUUACAAUGUAAACAUCCAACUGAUUUGGUUGUGGUGCAGGUGUCAGCUAAAAGGACCAAUGUACCAGGAAUGAAACAGUACCGGGGUCGUCGAGCAAGCCCAUAUAUGGGCUUUCGAUCACGAAGGCCUUACAUGCCACCUCCAUUUUAUGCUCCUUUUGCAUAUGG
This is a long non-coding RNA of Asparagus officinalis (garden asparagus), 513 nucleotides long. RefSeq lists it as uncharacterized. The record is from RefSeq and is a predicted model, not a curated record. NCBI's taxonomy places the organism in Eukaryota, Viridiplantae, Streptophyta, Magnoliopsida, Asparagales, Asparagaceae. The transcript is spliced from 3 exons.